This 2052-nucleotide ribosomal RNA is filed under the name human metagenome. Its description in RNAcentral is "bacterial LSU rRNA". It matches the Rfam family "Bacterial large subunit ribosomal RNA", at positions 828 to 2925 of the family's 2925-position model. The record is from RNAcentral.
UCCAAUCGAACUCGGAGAUAGCUGGUUCUCCUCGAAAUAGCUUUAGGGCUAGCCUUGUGUAGUAGUAUAUGGGGGUAGAGCACUGACUGAGGUAGGGGCCUAACCAGGUUACCAAACUCUAUCAAACUCCGAAUACCGUAUAUGUAAGCACAGGAGUCAGACUGUGGGAGCUAAGUUCCAUGGUCAAAAGGGAAAGAGCCCAGAUCGUCAAUUAAGGUCCCAAAGAUAUAGCUAAGUGGCAAACGAUGUGAUUUUGCGUAAACAACCAGGAUGUUGGCUUAGAAGCAGCCAUACAUUUAAAGAGUGCGUAAUAGCUCACUGGUCGAGUGAAGUUGCGCGGAAAAUUACCGGGGCUAAGCUAUACACCGAAAUUGCGGAUUUACAUUUGAAAGAUAAUGUAAGUGGUAGAGGAGCAUUCUGUAGUAGGGAGAAGCAUAAGCGAGAGCAUGUGUGGACGAGGCAGAAGAGAGAAUGCUGGAAUAAGUAGCGAGAGCAAGGUGAGAAUCCUUGCCGUCGAAAGUCUAAGGUUUCCUGGGGAAGGUUCGUCCGCCCAGGGUAAGUCGGGACCUAAGGUGAGGCUGAAAAGCGUAGCCGAUGGAUAGCAGGUUGAAAUUCCUGCACUAUAGAUAUACUUAAAAGAUGCAAGGGACGCAGGAGUGGAAGAUAAGCGAGGAAGAGGAAAAACUCGUAUCGCAAGAUAUAGUGAAAAUAAAGUAACGAAUUAUCAAGAAGCACACUGACGAGAAAAGCUUGUAGAUAUUGUAUAUAAAUACCCGUACCGCAAACCGACACAGGUAGAUGAGGAGAGGAUCCUAAGACGAGCGGGAGAAGCAUUGUUAAGGAACUCGGCAAAUUGACCCCGUAACUUAGGGAGAAGGGGUGCCAAGGUAACACUUGGCCGCAGUGAAGAGGUUCAAGCAACUGUUUAACAAAAACACAGGUUUCUGCUAAAUCGAAAGAUGAAGUAUAGGAGCUGACGCCUGCCCAGUGCUGGAAGGUCAAAGGGAAGUGUUAGUAAAAACUUACGAAGCACAGAACUCAAGCCCCAGUGAACGGCGGCCGUAACUAUAACGGUCCUAAGGUAGCGAAAUUCCUUGUCAGGUAAGUUCUGACCCGCACGAAAGGCGUAAUGAUUUGAACACUGUCUCAACAAUGUACCCGGCGAAAUUGUAGUACUAGUGAAGAUGCUAGUUACCUGCGACAAGACAGAAAGACCCCAUGGAGCUUUACUGCAGCUUGAUACUGGGUUUUGGUAAUUUAUGUACAGGAUAGGUGGGAUACUAAGAAGCAAGUGCGCCAGCAUUUGUGGAGUAGACGUUGGGAUACCACUCUUAAAUUAUUGAAAUUCUAACCUGUGAUCAUGAACUGGUCAGGGGACAAUGUCAGGCGGGCAGUUUGACUGGGGCGGUCGCCUCCUAAAGAGUAACGGAGGCGCCCAAAGGUUUCCUCAGCACGGACAGAAAUCGUGCGAAAGAGUGUAAAGGCAGAAGGAAGCUUAACUGGGAGACUGACAAGUCGAGCAGAUACGAAAGUAGGGCUUAGUGAUCCGGCGGUAGUGAGUGGAAAUGCCGUCGCUCAACGGACAAAAGUUACCCUGGGGAUAACAGGCUUAUCUCCCCCAAGAGUUCACAUCGACGGGGAGGUUUGGCACCUCGAUGUCGGCUCAUCGCAUCCUGGAGCGGAAGUACGUUCCAAGGGUUGGGCUGUUCGCCCAUUAAAGCGGUACGCGAGCUGGGUUCAGAACGUCGUGAGACAGUUCGGUCCUUAUCUGUCGCAGGCGUAGGAUAUUUGAAGGGAGCUGUCCUUAGUACGAGAGGACCAGGAUGGACAUACCGAUGGUGUAUCAGUUGUCACACCAGUGGCACGGCUGAGUAGCUAAGUAUGGAAGGGAUAAACGCUGAAAGCAUCUAAGUGUGAAGCCCACCUUAAGAUAAGAUAUCCCAUUGCGUAAGCAAGUAAGAUCCCAUGAAGACUACAUGGUAGAUAGGUUGGGGGUGUAAGUACAGUAAUGUAUUAAGCUGACCAAUACUAAUAGAUCGAGGGCUUAACCAC